UACGUAGGCAGCAAGCGUUGUUCGGAGUUACUGGGCGUAAAGGGUGCGUAGGCGGCUUCUUAAGUCUGGUGUGAAAUCUCCCGGCUCAACUGGGAGGGUGCGCCGGAUACUGAGGGGCUAGAGUGUGGGAGAGGAAAGUGGAAUUCCUGGUGUAGCGGUGAAAUGCGUAGAUAUCAGGAGGAACACCGGCGGCGAAGGCGGCCCUCUGGAUCGUUGCUGACGCUGAGACGCGAAAGCGUGGGGAGCAAACAGG
This 253-nucleotide ribosomal RNA is filed under the name uncultured bacterium. RNAcentral describes it as "partial 16S ribosomal RNA". It matches the Rfam family "Bacterial small subunit ribosomal RNA", at positions 524 to 776 of the family's 1533-position model. The record is from RNAcentral.